Molecule: non-coding RNA, 31 nt
Filed under: Rattus norvegicus (Norway rat)
Lineage: Eukaryota; Metazoa; Chordata; Mammalia; Rodentia; Muridae
Source: RNAcentral
UCUAGACCCAUAGUUUAAAGGGGGACCCGAU